RNAcentral lists this ribosomal RNA (443 nucleotides) under uncultured bacterium. RNAcentral's name for it is "partial 16S ribosomal RNA". It matches the Rfam family "Bacterial small subunit ribosomal RNA", at positions 338 to 795 of the family's 1533-position model. The record is from RNAcentral.
CCUACGGGAGGCAGCAGUGGGGAAUAUUGGGCAAUGGGCGCAAGCCUGACCCAGCAACGCCGCGUGAAGGAAGAAGGCUUUCGGGUUGUAAACUUCUUUUCUCAGGGACGAAGCAAGUGACGGUACCUGAGGAAUAAGCCACGGCUAACUACGUGCCAGCAGCCGCGGUAAUACGUAGGUGGCAAGCGUUGUCCGGAAUGACUGGGCGUAAAGGGAGUGUAGGCGGCUCAUCAAGUUAGAUGUGAAAUCCCGCGGCUUAACCGCGGAACUGCAUCUAAAACUGGUAAGCUGGAGUGCAGGAGAGGUGAGUGGAAUUCCUAGUGUAGCGGUGGAAUGCGUAGAUAUUAGGAGGAACACCAGAGGCGAAGGCGACUCACUGGACUGUAACUGACGCUGAGGCUCGAAAGCGUGGGGAGCAAACAGGAUUAGAUACCCCUGUAGUC